GGCUUGCUUUUAGAAAUGCCAUCCCCUUCACUCUUUUUAGAUGUCUGCACUCAAAAUAAUUAUGAUUGCCUUUGCGGUUUUGCCCUUAUCCUUGUCUGAGGAUUCAUCAGAAGCAUCACUUGAUUCUCAAACGCUGUCUUUCUUUCUCUACUGUGACUGUGAGUCUAUAGCCAUCACCAAUAAUCAACACCACCAGCCUUAAGAAUUCCCGACUGAAUCUUUGUAGCUCUCCAGAGACCUCGAGCUCGACUGAUUCAACCAUCUACACCGGCGGUUGUUUCCAAAAAGGUCUAAUUCAACCAAUAAAUCGUAUUCAUCGGUGAUUGAACCACCUUCAC
RNAcentral lists this unclassified non-coding RNA (338 nucleotides) under Hevea brasiliensis (rubber tree). Lineage: Eukaryota; Viridiplantae; Streptophyta; Magnoliopsida; Malpighiales; Euphorbiaceae. The record is from RNAcentral.